UCUAAGCACAUGCCUUAAAACGGUGAAGCCGCGAAUAGCUCAUUACAACAGCCAUCGUUUAUUAGAAUAUCGUUAUCCUACUUGGAUAACUGUGGCAAUUCUAGAGCUAAUACAUGCAAUAAAGCUCUGCCCGCAAGGAACGAGCGCAUUUAUUAGAAUAAAAACCAAUCGGGUUUCGGCCCGUAAUUUGGUGAAUCUGAAUAACUUUGCCAAUCGCACAGUCCUAGUACUGGCGAUGUAUCUUUCAAGUGUCUGCCUUAUCAACUUUCGAUGGUACGCUAUACGCCUACCAUGGUAGUAACGGGUAACGGAGAAUAAGGGUUCGACUCCGGAGAGGGAGCCUGAGAAACGGCUACCACAUCCAAGGAAGGCAGCAGGCGCGCAAAUUACCCACUUCCAGAACGGAGAGGUAGUGACGAAAAAUAACGAGACAGUCCUCUUCGAGGUCUGUCAUCGGAAUGGGUA
Molecule: ribosomal RNA, 465 nt
Filed under: unidentified nematode Sourhope farm
Lineage: Eukaryota; Metazoa; Nematoda
Description: SSU rRNA
Rfam family: Eukaryotic small subunit ribosomal RNA
Source: RNAcentral